UACGUAGGGGGCGAGCGUUGUCCGGAUUUAUUGGGCGUAAAGAGCGUGUAGGCGGCCAGGUAGGUCCGUUGUGAAAACUCGAGGCUCAACCUCGAGACGUCGAUGGAAACCAUCUGGCUAGAGUCCGGAAGAGGAGAGUGGAAUUCCUGGUGUAGCGGUGAAAUGCGCAGAUAUCAGGAGGAACACCAACAGCGAAGGCAGCACUCUGGGCCGGUACUGACGCUGAGGAGCGAAAGCAUGGGGAGCGAACAGG
RNAcentral lists this ribosomal RNA (253 nucleotides) under uncultured bacterium. RNAcentral's name for it is "partial 16S ribosomal RNA". It matches the Rfam family "Bacterial small subunit ribosomal RNA", at positions 524 to 776 of the family's 1533-position model. The record is from RNAcentral.